GGCUCAGGACGAACGCUGGCGGCGUGCUUAACACAUGCAAGUCGAACGAUGAAGUUAUGACGGAGGCUUCGGCCGACAGAAUAACGGAAUAGUGGCGGACGGGUGAGUAACGCGUGAGUAACCUGCCUUUCAGAGAGGAAUAACAUUUGGAACGAAUGGUAAUACCACAUAACAUUACGUUCUCGCAUGGGGAUGUAAUCAAAGAUUUUAUCGCUGAGAGAUGGACUCGCGUCCGAUUAGCUAGAUGGUGAGGUAACGGCCCACCAUGGCGACGAUCGGUAGCCGGACUGAGAGGUUGAACGGCCACAUUGGGACUGAGACACGGCCCAGACUCCUACGGGAGGCAGCAGUGGGGAAUAUUGCACAAUGGGGGAAACCCUGAUGCAGCAACGCCGCGUGAGUGAUGACGGCCUUCGGGUUGUAAAGCUCUGUCUUCAGGGACGAUAAUGACGGUACCUGAGGAGGAAGCCACGGCUAACUACGUG
Molecule: ribosomal RNA, 485 nt
Filed under: uncultured bacterium
Lineage: Bacteria
Description: bacterial SSU rRNA
Rfam family: Bacterial small subunit ribosomal RNA
Source: RNAcentral